RNAcentral lists this long non-coding RNA (5051 nucleotides) under Salvia miltiorrhiza (redroot sage). RNAcentral describes it as "long non-coding RNA (SMIL_LNC009290)". The record is from RNAcentral. Lineage: Eukaryota; Viridiplantae; Streptophyta; Magnoliopsida; Lamiales; Lamiaceae.
AAGAAAUUAAAAUGGCAAAGCUAGGCUCCAUUGGUGUGAUCCUAACAAUCUCAUGCUUGCUAGCGUUGACACUAUACGUCAAUGCUAGAAAGCAAGGCCUUGAUAUUGCGGAGGAUUUCCUAGAUUUCCCCCGCAAAGACUUCUACCUCGAAAAAGAAAAGGUCGUGAAGUUCCGCGUCUUUGUUCAGGAUCUCAGUGUAAAUCACCCCAACACCACCACGUACGACGUGGCACAGGCCUCCAUCACCGCGACCUCCCCGACCAGCUUCGGCAAAGUCCGUGUCAUCGACGACCUAGUCACAGCGCAGCCGGAUGGCAACUCCAGGGCGCUCGGCCGCCUCCAAGGGCUCCUCACGAGAUCCGACCUAACGACGCUCGCGAUCUCAGUGAACCUCAACUUGUACUUCUCGGCGGGGCCUUACGCCGGCAGCAUCAUUAGCCUCCUCGGCCGGAACCAGAUCGCGCUGGCCGAGCGGGAGCUUGUGGUCGCUGGCGGCACCGGUGUCUUCCGAUUUGCUCGUGGAUAUGCAAUUCAGAAGACUAACUCUACGCGCACAAACGUAUCGGUGUUGGAAUACAACAUCUACACCACCUACAAUGCUAAACUCAAUGAGGUUGAUGAAAUGUGAGGAAAUAUCAAGUCCAUAUAGAUAGUGGGAUAAAUUUGUGUGAGUGCACGAGUUUGCAUUUGAUUUCUUUGUUGCAUUUUCAUGUGACCACGUACGAAAAUUGUUUUUUUUUUUUUUGUAUUGCUAUGAUUGAUGAAUUAUUAUUUUCCUAAAUCAAGCAUUCUUCUUGUUUGAAUUUCCUAUAUUUUUAAAUUUGUAAUUACAUUAAACAUGUCAAUAAUUAAUUACAAUUAAUAAAUUCGAAAUUGGCAACAGUUAAGUACCAAUAAAACAACGAAGUGCGAUUCAAUUGAUAAGACGAUUUCCCUCUAAUCAAUAAGUCUAAGGUUCGAGUCACCACGAGACCAUUAUUGAUCCUUUUCAAAAAAAAAACAAAAGACCAAUUAAUAAUUAACACCACUUGAUUUUUCAUUAUGUUGGAACCCUAUAAGCUUAAGAGAUGAUGAUGUCCACAACUUUAAAUAUUUUUUUUGUCGAAAUUAAUUCAACUUCUUUAUCAGUUUAGGGGCAAGCCGCAUGUAUCGCUGGGCUCGCGCCUCAGAUCCGACCCGGCAUGUUGACUUGCCGUUGUUUUAGUGUACUAGUUAUAAUAUGUAAAUAAGUCCUUUUUUCUUAAAAGUAAAUGUGACUUUAAAAGUAAUUAAAUGAGAUCUAUACUAUAUUAAAACAGCAGUUUUCAAUUAGAAAUUGAUUUCAAAUCAAUUUCAAUGGCAAUUUUGUGAUUUCUUACAAAAAUAAUGACUUAUUGUACAUAUUCAAAACUUAAGUAACUAACUCAAUUAAAAUUACAUAACCCAUAAUUUUUUUAAAAAUGCACACCCACGUUUAAAAAGACAAAUUGCAUAACCCACGUUUAUAAUUUCAUAAUGAAUUAUAUGUUUAUAUGUGUAUAUAUACACAAUUUAUAAGGCAUUGGUUAUAAAUAAUUUAUAAAUUUAUAUUUAUAUAAUAAUUUAUAAUAUAUUAAGAAGAUAAUUUUCAAUUUCAAAUUGAUUUCAAAAUUAAUAAGUGACAAUUUUGUAGUUAUAAAAAAUUGAAGUUUUAUUUGUACAAUAUAAUUUUUCUUCGUGUUCUUAUUUUUUAAUAUUAUUUCUUUCUAAAAUUGUGAAAUUAAAAUUAUUUAUAAAAUAUAUCAAAUUAAAUAUCAUGAUAAGAGCAUUAAUUUGAUAUAUUUUAUGUAAAUAUUUGAUUUAAAAUGGAGAGUUAUAUUUAUUUAAAGAUUAAUGGUUUUUAAAAAUUCUCUCUCAUCUCUCCUCUUUUUUUGAAUAAAUCAAUUUUUUUCUAUUUUAUUCUUUUUACUUAUUAUUUAUGCCUUUUCACAAUAUCAAUUUUUAUUAUUGUGAAUUUUUCUUUAUUUUUUUUAAUAUUCAACUCAAAUAUAUUAAGUGAAAAUUAAUUUUUUUCUUAUAUUUAUAAAUAUGAUAAUUGAGUUGGUAUCAAUUUAUAUAUAUAAAAAUAUAAAAACGUUUUCCGUGCAUCGCACGGGGUGCAAAUGCUAGUUAUAUUAUUAAAAGCAAAUAAGAUUUUUAAAAAUUAAAAAUAAAAUUAUGCACACAAAACAGGAGUUGUAUUACGCAAAUGAGUUUUUUUAACAAAGCAAAUGAUUUUUUUUAAACGAAUGAAAUAAAUGCACAUAAAGUAUGGACUAUAUUAAUUACAUAAAUGAAACUUUAUUCAAAACCAAAUGAAACUUUUAUUAAAAGAAAAUAAGACUGUUAAAAGAUAAAAAUAAAAUUAUGCACACAAAGCACGAAUUGUAAGACUUUUCUUCAAGACAAAUGAGUUUUUUUUUUUAAAAUUAAACGUGUUUUUUUACGAAAUCAAAUGAGACUUUUGAUUAGAUUAAGAGGGUGUUUGGCUGAGCUUAUAAGCUCCUCAAAACAGUUGUUUAAGAGCUUAUAAGUUCCUUUAAAGUGUUUGACAAAAUAAGCUUCUAAACAGUUUAUAAGCUCCAACAGCUUAUAAGCUCCCCAAAAAAAUAGUUUAUCUACCCCAACUUAUUUUUUUAUAAUCUCAUAUGCAACAAUCAUUUUACAAAUAUUUUUCAACUAUAAUUUAUUAUUUUCAUCAUAUAUCAUUGAAGUUCAUUAUUUUUUGAUUCUCUCUCUCUAGAAAAAAAUUCUCUCUCUCUAGAAAAAAAUUCUCUCUCUAGCUUAUAAGCUCAAUCAUCCAAACACUUUAACAACUUAUAAGCUCUUAAAAAUUACAUCUUAUAAGCUCUUGAAACAUCUUAUAAGCUCCAAGAGCUUAAAAGCUCUUUUAAAUAAGUUUAGCCAAUUCCUCUAAAUUGAGCACGGGUCGGAUUGAAUCUGGACCGUGGAGUCCCAGUAUCACCCAAGUUUUUGUGAUUAGUUUAAGCUACAUCUCCAAUAAAUUAAGUAUAUAUAUAGGAGUAGUUCUAUCAUUUUUGAGGUUUUAAUUGGUCGGGUCUGAAUCAGAAAAUAUAUACGUUAAUGAGAGGAUCGAGAUGAACUUAAUAUGUGUGUGUGUCUAUGUCCUUAUUGACUAAAUUUAAGUAUUUUUUUUUUUUAAAAUACUUUCGAACUUUUUAAUAAAUUUUAAUCAACACAUACUUAACUUCUAAGCAAAUUCAUCAUAUAGAAAAUGUAGAAAUGAAAUAAACUAAUAUUACUUUCUUUUCCUCUCUUUAAUAUUUUCGAACUUUUUUAAAAUGUUUGCAGGUUGAGCGGCGGAUGUGGAGUGUGGUGCUGAGAUGAAGAUCUUUUAUUGAAAUCUCGUUUUUUUGUCUCAUCCGUUUCGAUAUUUUUUUUAAAUAUCGCAUUCUAAAAGUAAUUAUGAAAAGGUAUUCAUCGAUUCUCAUAUAUAUAAAAGUACUGAAAUAAAUAUAUAAAUAAUCUAACUCACCUUCAAUUCAACCUCUUCCCGGCAACUAUAUUCUGGCGCGCCAACUUCGCUUUCCAUCAAAAAACCAAAAUUACAAAUCCAAAUUUGGUAGGUCAAUUUUCACUUUUCUUCUCCCUCCAUUUUGUCAUUUGAUCAUUUUUAAGUCGAAAUGAUGGAGGAAAAAUUAUAUUUAGCCUAUUAUUGUUGAAAAUCUAUUAAGUUUGAUUUCUUCUAGUGUCUAAAUUCACAGUAUACGAAGUAUAAUGAUAAAUAACUUGUACAAACUAAAGAAAGUAAUUUUAUGGAAAAAUAAUUAAUCUCCGUAAAUAAAUAUGAAUCAUGUUUGACACUAUUGUUAUUUUUUCUCUGAGGCCGACACUAUUGAAUUUAUUAUCUUUAAUAUUAUAUUCUGUUAAAUUAGGGAUGAAAUUUAGUGUCCCAUAUUUUUUUGUGUGUCAAUCGUAUCCCAAUAUUAUAUUAUUAUUAAUAGUAAUAUUUUUGCAAAAAUAAAGUUUAAUAUAAUAUUCACGAAUUAUAUUUACCCUAACUUUCGAUUUAUCGAUCUAAUAAAGCAUUAUUAACUAAUAAAUAGUAUAGAAAUUAAAUAAUAAAAGAAAAAUAAUAUACCCAAAAUUGAUGGAAUAAAUUUUAAUAAAUAAUUACAAAAUUAAAAUUGAAAAACAAAGAGGAAAGAAAAUAAAAAUUAAAGUGAGACAUUGAAUUUAAUUAGUACAUUGAAUCUCAAUAAAUCUAGACAAGAGUCAAAGUGCGAAUCUUAGCAACUUUCAGAUUAAUUAGAUAAACUUUGAUGAUAUGAAUAUUUAGGGUAAGUCAUUCUUAGUUUCAUUUUUAUUUUUAUUUGUUCAUUGGUAUUGGCCAUCGUUUCUGUUUUGACGAAAAGUUAAUUUCAUGAGUUUUUUUAUACCCAUAUGGCCAUAUGCAACUUGCAAAAGUUUUAUCAGUUUUUUAUACUCAUAUGGCCAUAUGCAUCUUGCAUUAUUCUUCUAAAAAUAUACCAUAACAAAUAUUUAAUAUCUAUUCAAUACCUUUAUAUAAACCCCUAUCCACAUGAAAAUCCAAUCACACCAAUACAUUCCCAUCUCUAUCAAGUUAAAUUAGCUAGCAACAAAGAAUUAAAAUGGCAAAGCUAGGCUCCAUUGGUGUGAUCCUAACAAUCUCAUGCUUGCUAGCGUUGACACUAUACGUCAAUGCUAGAAAGCAAGGCCUUGAUAUUGCGGAGGAUUUCCUAGAUUUCCCCCGCAAAGACUUCUACCUCGAAAAAGAAAAGGUCGUGAAGUUCCGCGUCUUUGUUCAGGAUCUCAGUGUAAAUCACCCCAACACCACCACGUACGACGUGGCACAGGCCUCCAUCACCGCGACCUCCCCGACCAGCUUCGGCAAAGUCCGUGUCAUCGACGACCUAGUCACAGCGCAGCCGGAUGGCAACUCCAGGGCGCUCGGCCGCCUCCAAGGGCUCCUCACGAGAUCCGACCUAACGACGCUCGCGAUCUCAGUGAACCUCAACUUGUACUUCUCGGCGGGGCCUUACGCCGGCAGCAUCAUUAGCCUCCUCGGCCG